UACGGAGGGUGCAAGCGUUAUCCGGAUUCACUGGGUUUAAAGGGUGCGUAGGCGGGCAUUUAAGUCAGUGGUGAAAUACCUGAGCUUAACUUGGGAACUGCCAUUGAUACUAUUCGUCUUGAAUGUCGUGGAGGUUAGCGGAAUAUGUCAUGUAGCGGUGAAAUGCUUAGAUAUGACAUAGAACACCUAUUGCGAAGGCAGCUAACUACGCGAAUAUUGACGCUGAGGCACGAAAGCGUGGGGAUCAAACAGG
This 253-nucleotide ribosomal RNA is filed under the name uncultured bacterium. RNAcentral describes it as "partial 16S ribosomal RNA". It matches the Rfam family "Bacterial small subunit ribosomal RNA", at positions 524 to 776 of the family's 1533-position model. The record is from RNAcentral.